GCCUACGACCAUCUCACCCUGAAUGCGCGCCAUCUCGUCUGAUCUCACAAGCUAAGCAGAGUCCAGCCUGGUUAGUACUUGGAUGGGAGAAUGCCUGGGAAUACCAGGUGUUGUAGGCU
This 119-nucleotide ribosomal RNA is filed under the name Petromyzon marinus (sea lamprey). Lineage: Eukaryota; Metazoa; Chordata; Hyperoartia; Petromyzontiformes; Petromyzontidae. The record is from RNAcentral.